CGUCCCUACAAAGCCCCAAUCGAUGCCGCCCCAAAUCCAAGGCCCCCAGGCGCCGUUCCGCCGCCACCACCAACAAAUAGAGGAGGAGAGGGAGCCGAGAAGGGAGGAGAAGAGAAGAGGAGGGAGGAGCGCCGCAGCAGCCCAUCUAGCGCCAGGCCAGGGAGAGGAGGACUCACCGCUGGGAGGAGCACCAAGGAAAAGGUCCAGCCGCCGCCGAGAACGCCAUCGCCGGACUUCAUCACGCCGGCGCCCAUACGACUCCGUCAAUGAAGCCGCGCGCCACGGCACAGCCUCGACUCGCCACUGCUCCAUGCCCUUCUCCCUCGAGCACACCGGACCUGCUGCCGAGGAGACGAUCGACGACCAGGACUACUAGGAGCCCUAGGAGUUCUAGAGGAGCCACCAGGUUCAUGCCCAUCUUUGUUUAAAUACCUAUUAGGCAUUUCUUCCUAGAUAUGAUGAGAUUAACAUGCAUAGCCUAUUUAUUUAUUGUAUUCCUCGUACUCCUAUGUUUACCUUGAUUGAAUCUAUGAGAUGCCUUGGCUACCAUGUGUAUGUGUAGGAUAUCGUAAUUGAUAGUCUUGGCGUGAGUGGAGAUUCCACCAUAUGAGGAGUUGGUGAUUAGGGUUUUUACUUUAGCGGGGGUGAGCUUUUUGGCUUAGGGUGUGUGUUGGGCACUCCCUACGGAGCACCUGUGGCGGGUGCAUUUGAGUCGGAGGACACGGGUGGAUACUUGCAGAGUGUGGAGAGGUGAUACCUGUAAUUGGUGCCUAUAGUGGACCGUUGCGGCGGAUUCGCACGCGGAGAUGCUCGCCUCGGCAACAUAAGGCCUAGUUAGUGGACCUGGUGACAGAACUAUGUCAAAUGUGCACACCACUUAUCCAUUAUGAGGAUGGACCCAGUUUGAGCUAGCACAACCCCGGGGCGACCUCUUGCGGGAGGAUGUACCCCAAACCCGGGGAAACAGGAUGGUGUCAUAGCUGUUAGUUUCGUGACAGUAGACUGGUGCCUCGGGGUCAGUCGGAUCAUUCCCAGCUGGCGUCGGGACAAGUGGGUACAGGUGCGCAACCCCUACAGGGUGAAAACUAUACGUAUAGCAGCGUACUUAGUCAUGACUCUUGAUCUGGCUUCACUUUCCUAGUGUAGUGUUACCUGAUUUCUACCUCCCUCUAGUCUACUUUCCUGCAUGGAUUGCAGCUGAGGUGUUGAGAAAGGAGUUCUCACACCGACUUGGUGGGUACUUUUUGUUCUUGGGAGGUGUGUGUGACCGGGAGUCCGGAAAGCCGGAAUGGCUCGUGUCGAGAUGAUUGGAUGAAGUAUAUAUAUAUAUUUAUAUACUUGCUUGCUGCUUGCAUAGGAAACUCAGCCUUAUCCUUUGGCUAUUAUUUCUACCUUAUUGCAUCCACUUAAAGAUUGCAUACGGAUGAUGACGUGAACCUAUCCCAUCGUUGGGGAUAGUUUGGCAAGAUGAAGGAUCCAACCCAGAGUUCGACGCCAACGACGACGGAUGGUACAAUUGAAGCCCGUGCUACGCUCAAGGCUGCCUGUGGAGAUGAAGUUCAAGCUGAAGGAUGACCUGAGAACUAGCUACCGCCUCUGAGUUUUGUUUGUUCCGAUUUAGCCCAAUGUACUUGUAAUGGGAAAUUCGUACUACAGAUCCAUUGGAUAUUGCAAUAAUUAGACCCAUGUUUGAAUCUUUUAAGUAA
Long non-coding RNA from Panicum virgatum (switchgrass), 1706 nucleotides. RefSeq lists it as uncharacterized. The record is from RefSeq and is a predicted model, not a curated record. The transcript is spliced from 2 exons. NCBI's taxonomy places the organism in Eukaryota, Viridiplantae, Streptophyta, Magnoliopsida, Poales, Poaceae.